UUUCCCCAAAACAAUACACAAUCCCAUAAUUAAUCUCCAAAGAAAGACAAAAAUGGUGAAAUCAAUUCCAAGAACCCAAGCCUAUUCAACAAGAAGACGCAAGAACUUUGCACCGAUUAAAAAAUACAAAGACAAUCGAAAACCAAUUACGUUCUUCAAUUUCUCAACUCAAUCUUCUCCAUCUCCGAAUAACGCCAUUGUUAAAGCUCGAGAUCAAAUACCCAUUGAAAUCUCCAUUGAUAAACCUCAAGAACACAAUCAAUCUCCUGUAACUCCUUUUGCUCUAUUAUCUGACUCGCCCAUUCCCCCUUUGACCACUUCUGAUCACCAUUUUGUUUUUCAACAAUCUCAAGAAAUAGCCACAAAAAACUCCAUUGUUAAAGCUACUAAUUCUUCUUCUGAUCAAUUUAUGCCAUAUUCUAUAUCGGCCCCUGUUUCUUCUUUAAGGAGAACAGUUUCUGAACCACCCAAAUUUAUAUCUGAUUUAAGCCCUGAGGAAUACUCCAUUAUUAAGGUAAAUUUUGGUCAAUUUAUUUAUUUCCUUCGAUUUCAUUUUAUUUUUGAUAUUCUUGUUUUUUUUAUUGGUAAUUUAUUGAAUUGUAGAAGAGGAGAAUAAUGAAGCAAGAAAUGGAUUCAUCUCCUUCUGUAGUUCGAAAUUUGAUGAUUCAAUUGCCGCCAUUACCUCCACGGCCAUCGCCAAAGCUUUUAAGAAGAACAGUUUCCGACUCUGUUCCUCUUUCUUAUGCAAAGAAAAUGGCUGAAAACGAGAAGAUGGAAGGAAAAGCAGUUAAAGCAGUG
RNA transcript from Amaranthus tricolor (Joseph's coat), 798 nucleotides. RefSeq lists it as uncharacterized. The transcript has 2 exons. The record is from RefSeq and is a predicted model, not a curated record. Lineage: Eukaryota; Viridiplantae; Streptophyta; Magnoliopsida; Caryophyllales; Amaranthaceae.